This 93-nucleotide transfer RNA is filed under the name Talaromyces rugulosus. RNAcentral's name for it is "Penicillium rugulosum tRNA". It matches the Rfam family "tRNA". Rfam says of the family: Transfer RNA (tRNA) molecules are approximately 80 nucleotides in length. Their secondary structure includes four short double-helical elements and three loops (D, anti-codon, and T loops). Lineage: Eukaryota; Fungi; Ascomycota; Eurotiomycetes; Eurotiales; Trichocomaceae. The record is from Rfam by way of RNAcentral.
UCCCCAUUGGUCUAGUGGUCAUGAUUUCCGCUUGUCAUUUUUCAAAUGAAAUUUCAAGCGCGGGAGACCGGGGUUCGAUUCCCCGAUGAGGAG